This 253-nucleotide ribosomal RNA is filed under the name uncultured bacterium. RNAcentral's name for it is "partial 16S ribosomal RNA". It matches the Rfam family "Bacterial small subunit ribosomal RNA", at positions 524 to 776 of the family's 1533-position model. The record is from RNAcentral.
UACGUAGGGGGCGAGCGUUGUCCGGAUUUAUUGGGCGUAAAGAGCGUGUAGGCGGCCAGGUAGGUCUGCUGUGAAAACUCGAGGCUCAACCUCGAGACGUCGGCGGAAACCAUCUGGCUAGAGUCCGGAAGAGGAGAGUGGAAUUCCUGGUGUAGCGGUGAAAUGCGCAGAUAUCAGGAAGCACACCCGUGGCGAAGGCGGCUCUCUGGGACGGUACUGACGCUGAGACGCGAAAGCGUGGGGAGCGAACAGG